UACGAAGGGGGCUAGCGUUGCUCGGAAUUACUGGGCGUAAAGGGCGCGUAGGCGGACAGUUUAGUCAGAGGUGAAAGCCCAGGGCUCAACCUUGGAAAUGCCUUUGAUACUGGCUGUCUUGAGUUCGGGAGAGGUGAGUGGAAUGCCGAGUGUAGAGGUGAAAUUCGUAGAUAUUCGGCGGAACACCAGUGGCGAAGGCGACUCACUGGCCCGAUACUGACGCUGAGGCGCGAAAGCCAGGGGAGCGAACGGG
Molecule: ribosomal RNA, 253 nt
Filed under: uncultured bacterium
Lineage: Bacteria
Description: partial 16S ribosomal RNA
Rfam family: Bacterial small subunit ribosomal RNA
Source: RNAcentral